RNAcentral lists this long non-coding RNA (480 nucleotides) under Mytilus galloprovincialis (Mediterranean mussel). Lineage: Eukaryota; Metazoa; Mollusca; Bivalvia; Mytilida; Mytilidae. The record is from RNAcentral.
UGUAAAUUUAUUAUGAAAUGUUUCCUUCAAUAUACUAGUCCAAAGACCAUUUUUAACAUGUACACAUAGCAUAAAAUUUGCUAUCUGGUCGUUAGACCAAAACUGAAGAAGUGACUUUUUAUUGUUGUAAAAAAAAACAUCAAUACAAACUUAAUAAAUACCAAAUGUUUAAUCCACAAAUGUUUUGAAUAAAUAUUGUGGUCUUUCAACCAAAAAGAAUGUUGUCAAACGAUAUUGUAUUAUUCUGGUCUAAAGACCAAAUAUUCAUGUAUUUUCUUAUUCAUAUAGAAAAAACAACCAAACAAUUAAACCAAUCUAUAGGUUGUUUGAUACUCAUAAACUGGUCUUUAAACCAAAAAAAAAGAAAAGAAGAAGAAAAUGAUUCGGUAGAAUUUUUAGUAUUUACUAUUAAAAACAAAAGAUCAAUAUCAACGAAUAAAGGCCAGAUAAUAAAAAACACAAAACACAUCUAGGAUUCAC